RNAcentral lists this ribosomal RNA (254 nucleotides) under uncultured bacterium. Its description in RNAcentral is "partial 16S ribosomal RNA". It matches the Rfam family "Bacterial small subunit ribosomal RNA", at positions 524 to 776 of the family's 1533-position model. The record is from RNAcentral.
GACGAACCGUGCGAACGUUGUUCGGAAUCACUGGGCUUAAAGGGCGCGUAGGCGGGCCGCCGCGUCCGGGGUGAAAUCCCCCCGCUCAACGGGGGAACGGCCUCGGAUACGGGCGGUCUGGAGGCGGGUAGGGGCACGCGGAACUGUGGGUGGAGCGGUGAAAUGCGUUGAGAUCCACAGGAACUCCGGUGGCGAAGGCGGCGUGCUGGACCCCGAUCUGACGCUGAGGCGCGAAAGCCAGGGGAGCGAACGGG